This is a non-coding RNA of Acanthosepion pharaonis, 94 nucleotides long. Lineage: Eukaryota; Metazoa; Mollusca; Cephalopoda; Sepiida; Sepiidae. The record is from the annotation of a GenBank genome assembly.
GACUGAACCGGUUCUCGUACGAUCACCGAAGUUAAGCAACGUCGAGCCUGGUCAGCCUGGAUGAGUGAUCACUUGGGAAUAUCAAGAGCUGAAA